UAGCAUGGAAGUGAUUGGGAUUGGUUC
RNAcentral lists this non-coding RNA (27 nucleotides) under Rattus norvegicus (Norway rat). Lineage: Eukaryota; Metazoa; Chordata; Mammalia; Rodentia; Muridae. The record is from RNAcentral.